CCUACGGGAGGCAGCAGUGAGGAAUAUUGGUCAAUGGACGAGCGCCUGAACCAGCCAAGUAGCGUGAAGGAUGACUGCCCUAUGGGUUGUAAACUUCUUUUAUAUGGGAAUAAAACAGGGUAUGCAUACCCUCUUGUAUGUACCAUAUGAAUAAGGAUCGGCUAACUCCGUGCCAGCAGCCGCGGUAAUACGGAGGAUCCGAGCGUUAUCCGGAUUUAUUGGGUUUAAAGGGAGCGUAGGUGGGUUGUUAAGUCAGUUGUGAAAGUUUGCGGCUCAACCGUAAAAUUGCAGUUGAAACUGGCAGUCUUGAGUACAGUAGAGGUGUGCGGAAUGCGUGGUGUAGCGGUGAAAUGCUUAGAUAUCACGAAGAACUCCGAUUGCGAAGGCAGCUCACUGGACUGCAACUGACACUGAUGCUCGAAAGUGUGGGUAUCAAACAGGAUUAGAUACCCUAGUAGUC
Molecule: ribosomal RNA, 460 nt
Filed under: uncultured bacterium
Lineage: Bacteria
Description: partial 16S ribosomal RNA
Rfam family: Bacterial small subunit ribosomal RNA
Source: RNAcentral